Molecule: long non-coding RNA, 231 nt
Organism: Juglans microcarpa x Juglans regia
Lineage: Eukaryota; Viridiplantae; Streptophyta; Magnoliopsida; Fagales; Juglandaceae
Exons: 3
Source: RefSeq, a predicted model, not a curated record
CCUGCAGAAGCAAAGGAUAAGGAGUUUCCACAAUAUAAAAGACUCAUAUACCAGCCAGAGACACAGAGGAUGCCUAUUUCUAUCUUCCUCGGAAGCAAAGGGCAUCUAGUAUGGCAGUGAAAGCAUCCUUUAAAACUCAUAAAAAAAAAAAAAAAUGGAAAUUCUGGAGAAGAGUUAAGGGUACCAAAAUAUUUUAAAAACUACCACAGGCCAAAAAUAUGAUUAAAAAAU